Molecule: ribosomal RNA, 464 nt
Filed under: Vreelandella stevensii
Lineage: Bacteria; Pseudomonadati; Pseudomonadota; Gammaproteobacteria; Oceanospirillales; Halomonadaceae
Description: partial 16S ribosomal RNA
Rfam family: Bacterial small subunit ribosomal RNA
Source: RNAcentral
CUACGGGUGGCUGCAGUGGGGAAUAUUGGACAAUGGGCGAAAGCCUGAUCCAGCCAUGCCGCGUGUGUGAAGAAGGCCUUCGGGUUGUAAAGCACUUUCAGUGGGGAAGAAAGCCUUGGGGCUAAUACCCUCGAGGAAGGACAUCACCCACAGAAGAAGCACCGGCUAACUCCGUGCCAGCAGCCGCGGUAAUACGGAGGGUGCGAGCGUUAAUCGGAAUUACUGGGCGUAAAGCGCGCGUAGGCGGUCUGAUAAGCCGGUUGUGAAAGCCCCGGGCUCAACCUGGGAACGGCAUCCGGAACUGUCAGGCUAGAGUGCAGGAGAGGAAGGUAGAAUUCCCGGUGUAGCGGUGAAAUGCGUAGAGAUCGGGAGGAAUACCAGUGGCGAAGGCGGUCUUCUGGACUGACACUGACGCUGAGGUGCGAAAGCGUGGGUAGCAAACAGGAUUAGAUACCCUGGUAGUC